CGCGCCCCGCGCCCCGCACGGCUGCACCGCCUCGGCGCUUGUCAUUCUCCGCGGCGCGGCGGCGAGUGCUGACUGCGUUGCGUGCCUGCCUUCCCGCUAGCUUGUCGGCGCGCCCGCGAUGUGAUCGACCGCCUGGGAGCGGACUGGCAGCUCUCCCCGCUACAGCGCCUCGGCUUUUCCCUGGCCGCCUUCCUUGUUGAGCCCCGAUUCCCUCGGAGCCGGAGACACGCACCAGGGGCUCGAAGCGCCGCACUCCGGGACUGGCGGCAGCUGCAGCGCUCGGGACCGCGCGGCAGGGUGCAACCUCUGUCGUCGCCGCCGCCGCCGCGCUUGGCACCGCGGAGCCAAGGCGGCUGGUGCAGAGCGGCAGCACCUCGCCCCGCACCCGCCGCCGCCCGGGCAGUGCGGGGCCGCGGGGCGCUCUGUGCGCAGCGGGAGCGCGGUCCCCCCCGAAGGCUCCCCGUCGCCUGCGUCCCAAAAGCACGAGGUCAUUCUCUUCUUUCAGCCGGUGAGUGCAACUUCAGAGCUGGGAGAGAGUGAUUGCAAGGAGUGGAAUUACUGGGUAAAAUCACUCGAUGUUUCACUUUUUGAGGAACAAACAGGCUGUUUUCAAAGUGGCUGUACCAUUUUACAUCCCCAUCAGCCAGGCCAAGAAGUACGGAAGAACAUUCACCACCACAACGUUUCAAAGGGAAUACAUUGCCAGCAUUUUAAAUACUUAUUUGGACAAACAUUUCUCCAAGGAGGACGCAGCCCUCUGCCCCCAUGUCGCCACCUUGGAAGGACUGACCAAAUCCAGCAGCCUGUGCCACUUACCACCCACUAUGGGACCCGAGGGAAGCUUGCUGAGUGGGGGACAAAUGCAGAUCACCCUGUGGGGAAGCCUGGCAGCUGUGGCCACCUUCUUCCUCAUCACCUUCCUCAUCUUUCUGUGCUCCAGUUGUGACAGGGAAAAGAAGCCGAGACAGCACAGCGGAGAUCAUGAGAACCUGAUGAACGUGCCUUCCGACAAGGAGAUGUUCAGCCGUUCAGUUACCAGCCUGGCCACAGACGCACCUGCCAGCAGCGAACAGAAUGGGGCACUCACCAACGGUGACAUUCUUUCAGAAGACAGCACCAUGACCUGCAUGCAGCAUUACGAGGAAGUCCAGACCUCAGCUUCAGAUCUGCUAGACUCCCAGGACAGCACAGGGAAGCCAAAGUGUCAUCAGAGCCGGGAGUUGCCCAGAAUUCCCCCUGAGAGUGAAGUGGACACGACGCUCAAUGGAGAAAGCGCGGACGGGGACCAGCGUCUGGGGAUGGAGGGGCCGUAUGAAGUGCUCAAGGACAGUGCCUCACAAGAAAAUAUGGUGGAGGACUGCUUGUAUGAAACCGUGAAAGAAAUUAAGGAGGUGACGGCCGCCGCCCACUCAGCUCGGGGCCACAGCAGCAGGUCGAAGUCAACUUCCACUGUGAAGGAGCUUCCGGGGCCCCAGGCCAGCGGCAAAACAGACUUUGCCGAAUACGCCUCUGUGGACAGAAACAAAAAGUGUCGACAAAGUGCUAAUGCAGAGAGUAUUCUUGGAAAUCCAUGUGAUCCAGAAGAGGAGGCGCCACCCCCUGUCCCCAUUAAACUUCUGGAUGAAAAUGAAAACCUUCAGGAGCAGGCAGAGAGUAAAGCAGGAGAAGAAGGAGCCGCUGAGGGGACCAGUGAAACCAACAAGAGAUUUAGUUCGUUGUCAUACAAGUCCCGGGAAGAAGACCCAACUCUCACAGAAGAAGAGUAUCACAGACCCGGCCUGGCAGCAUGGAACUGUUCCCCAGCACCUCCUGGCACGAAGACAGCUCUGCCCAGCUCACGUUUUCCAGCGUCAUGGGCUAUCUCGAUAAGGCACAGAUCCACCUGGGGAAGCAGAUGCUGGGUGUUACUUGCCAUGAACUUUGCUAAACCAUGUUCACUCUUGCCCACAUCUUUCGUGAGAAUGGUUGGCGCUAAGGAGCCGUGGAGAAGAACUUUUUAAGAAUUCUGUUGAGGACUCAGACUCACAGAUGCAGAAAAAUGAGCCCUGCGCUCUAACCAGAUGAACCUGACAUGAUGAUCAUGACCCAUCCAGUAAGUGUGCUUGCUUUUUUCGCAUUCAUCUUUUUAAAUAUAAGCUUCUCUGUUUUUCCUGGAGCCAUGCUCGAAACUGAACUCCUGUGGGCCACUGCACGGCUGCCUCCUGAUGUCCUGGCGAUUUGGUGGCACCAUCAGCAGUGCUUUGCUCUCAGGGAGAAGCUCGUGGAACAUGUUGGGGAAGUUGAAUUUUACAUCCACGUCAACAGGCAUUUCAAAGAGUCCUGUAUGCCUCAGAUUUUUGACACUUUUUAAAAAUUUUUCUGUAUUUUUUUCUGAGUACCAACUACAUAUUUGAUUCUCAGGGGGUGGGUAGGGCAGGAAUUAGAAGUAAAAUUUGAACUAAGUGAUGUGGGAAAGACUUCCUGCCCCUGUGUGUGUGACUCUGGAAAAUGUUUUAUUCCAAUGCCCUACCUACCACUCUGAGUCUCUUGAGAAGCACACUGUAAAUGUACAUAAGAUUAAGAAAGAAUAUCUCAAAGACUUAAAUUAUUGUUUAGGUAUUUUCUUCUUUGUAAACUCAGGAAUAAACCUGGUUUGUGCAUGGCAUAAUAUGGCUACUAAAGCUAUAAUCUGUAGGCAACUAGGUGCAUUCUUUCAAAUAUGUUUCAUUCUAACUUUUUUUAAAACUGGGGAAAGAAACUCCUAGUAAUGAAAAAACAAAACCAACAAGAGACUUCCAUAAACUCUUUCUAGAAGAACAUAGCAUCAGUCUGACAUCUGCCCCAGAGUGUUUGUUUCUUGCCUAUAGUAUUUCAACAAUUUUUAUGGGAGAAAAAAAUGCACGUUUUUAUGUCUUGGAAAAAUGAAGUAUUGAAUUAAAUUCUCAGAGGGGACAAUUUAGUUUAAAGAGAAGCAUUGGUUUUGGAAAUGAACUCAUGGCUCCGUGGUCCCCAUUCCAGCAUUGACUUUACUGUGUGACCUUGAGCAAAUGAUUAACUACUCCGUGCCUCAGUUUCUCCAUAUACAAAAUGGGGAUAAUGAUACCAACCAUUGCCUACCUCAUAGGGAUGUUAUGGGGACAAAUGAGAUAAUAUAAAUACAAAUGCUUUGAAUUCUGUAAGAAAGGUGCUAUAUAAGUUGAAAUUGUGUUGUUUUUAAUGAUUCAAUUAUUAAUUAUGUUUAGGGUUUAAAUAAUAGCAAUACUGUUAGUCAUGGUAAGAAUAAGUUUCAACUUGAUGCAUAUUUACAAUUCUCUUCUGUGGCCAGAUCUUGAUCAUUUAUCCAGUAAUGGUACCUAAGGAACUGAAAUGGAUAUUUGUUUUCUGUGUAUUUCUGCCCAUAGUAUUUCUAUGCUGAAUGUUCCCAAAAGGCUGGAGUUCAACUUGUCAUAUCUUACAGUUUACAUGUAAUGAACCUUACUCAAGCUGUAUAUAAAAGUAUAAUUACAUGUAAAUAGCAGGUACAUUGUAAUUAAAGGCACUUAUCAACUUGUCUUUGUUCUUUUUUA
This is an RNA transcript of Balaenoptera musculus (blue whale), 3545 nucleotides long. It is a transcript of the gene named phosphoprotein membrane anchor with glycosphingolipid microdomains 1, with no coding region annotated. The transcript has 11 exons. The record is from RefSeq and is a predicted model, not a curated record. Lineage: Eukaryota; Metazoa; Chordata; Mammalia; Artiodactyla; Balaenopteridae.